Molecule: long non-coding RNA, 3808 nt
Filed under: Triticum aestivum (bread wheat)
Lineage: Eukaryota; Viridiplantae; Streptophyta; Magnoliopsida; Poales; Poaceae
Description: long non-coding RNA (TAES_LNC022161)
Source: RNAcentral
GGUAGUGCGCGGCGGCACGCCGCGCCAUGUAGAUUGAUAAGCUAUUUAGAUUUUCUAUAAAUAUUAGGUAAGUCAUUCCAAAACUCGAUUGUAGCAAAAUAGUUCAUACAAGGAUAGGUACAUGUAGUUGAUACAUGCAUAGGUGAUCAGGAAAAGGUACAUCUAGUUGGUACAUGCAUAGGUGAUCUACAACACGUAGUGAUAGUGGAUAUUGAAUGCAGAAUUGUGAAGCUCUUGUUCUCUUCCUAGACCUGAGAUGUUGAUCCUCCAGCUGGGUGUGUCUCUACAAUGUAGUGGUAGAUAUAUGAAGCUGGUUCUUUUGCUCUUAUUCAGGUGGUUUGUUUGAUGCGUAGACAAUGUUGAAGUUGCUACUGGAUGCACGUCCUGGCUCUCGACGGUUUGGUAAAUUAUCUUGAAAUGGGAGAUAAAUCGUAUCACAUCCAUUUAUCUAACAAAUAAUUAAGGACAGAGGAAGUAUAAAAUUUUCUCAAAUGGUUGCCGCAUCCUAGAAGCAAGUUGCACCAGAAAAUGCAUAUGCAUCAGUAUUCCAUACCGAUUUGUUCCCCUCCAGAGUGCUCUAGAUUAUCUCUAUGUAAUAAAUAUUGCAAAGAAAAUCAAAGUACCACAAUGUACUCCCUCUGUAAAGUAAUAGUACUCUGCUUUCCAAAUCACUAAGUAGUGAUCGGUUCCGCUCCACUAUUGUGUUGUUGAGUAACUCCUGAACAUUGUCUUGAGCGCAUCAUGAUUGUGGUCGUUGAUGACUAUACCGUGAUAUGUGCAAACUUGAUGAAGAGUAGCUUGAGCAACCUUUUUCUUCUGAAAGCUAUUGAUCACAAAUUUUGUAAUGCCAAUUUAACUUCAGAAAGAACAUGGCAACAUGGAACCUUCUCUGAAAAGUAGAAGUUGACGUGCUUGAUUACUAAGAGAGAACCCAUAGAUCUCAUGCCAACAGCAAUAAGCAUUUAAGCUACUUAUAACUUGAUUUUCCAUGAGAAAAUAACAUAUGUUUAAUCAUAUUUAAAAUAUUCAGUCAUGAAAGCAUAGAAGCAUCAGAAUUUUCCACUGAAGACACCAUGUCAGUGCACCAAAAAAUAGGUCAAGGGAAGUGAAAGGAAAAAAGAUCAAGUAAAUAAACUUGGAAGGAGAUCUACAGGAAGUAAUUAUUCUCUUGUACGUAUCAAGUUAUUUUUAAGAAAGGAUAAGAAGGGCAUAUAUAGGGGAUAUGUAUUUUGUUUUCUAGAAUACGGAGUAUGCAUAUCAUUCAUUAAAGAAGGAGAGGGGGGAAAAGAACCCCAGCGAACAACUCUUCCAUGUUUUACAACUAACAUAAUUAGAGUUGAAUUAACUGAACCGAUACAAAUAGGGGAGUAUGUACAGCAAAAUUGCACACUUCCACGUUUUACUGAUACAGCCAAUAGAGCUAAAUUAACUGAACUGAAUUUGUUCCUUGUAUGAGCAAAAAUACUAAGCUUUUAACUGUACGACACAGCCAGUCAAAUGAUGCAUAUAACUGCUGCAUGCUAUGUGGGAGCGGGAAAAAACACUUCUUGAAGGUAAUUUAAGCAUCCAACAAUUGGUGAAAAAACUGAAUUACUACAGUCAGAAUCCAUAUAUCAAAACAAAGUAAAAGAAAAUGAAAUAGAAAACGCUCCACACAAAAUAUAGAUAUGUACGAACUGCUAGGAUAGAAAUAAAUUAAGGAAUCCCUUGGAGAGGGAAUUAUUUACACAUGAAAGAAGUGAGCUAUCAUGCCGGAAAUUCGGAUGCAUGACUAAACAUUCGGAAUAAAAAUAAGGUAAGCUGCUAGAUCUUGCCUGUUGGUAAAUGCCUGGCCAUAUUUUUCUUACAAAAAGCUUUUAAAAUUUAGAUUAGAUAGAACAAAUAAAGCAUUGUUUACCCUUCGCAUAACUUACCCUUUGCACAAAUACUCCAGCAAAGCUUCAUGUUAAUGCAUAUAUUUUUGUAAGUUAAUCAAAUAUGGACCACGAUCUCCUAGAGAACCAAAGACCAAUUACGUGGUAGAGUAAUGUCAAAACAGAGGAAGCAUGAUGUUAGUUGUCCAUGUGCCUGAUAGGACUUGCACCUUUUUUUUGAAAAAAAAUCAACUUACACCUGCACGCCAAGAGUUCAUGCUUACACAAAAUAAUCAGAAGAGUUCAGGUUCAUUAAAACUUCAAUAUAGAAUAACACAUCGUCGAGGUGUUAUACACACGUGUUGAAUGCAAGGAAUAAUACGCCACUAACUGGACCAUAUUCAAUGUUAAAUACUUCGCAGAAUCUAUAUUGAUGGAUUAGUGUUGCUACUUCUCACUGAAAGUAUUGCUGAGGGAAAAAGUACAGCUCAAAGCCUGAUCUGGACUACAUCAUCACACAUAGGAACGUUGAGGAGAAGAUCUUAUGGAAGCAAUCAAUUAAACAGUUCAAGUAUGUGAAACUUGACACCAAUGUCCCUAGGUCAUGAGAUAAGGCACAGUAUAAUACCAUAAGGAAGUAGAAGUAACAUGAUAAUUUGUAAUUCUAUGAAAUAAACAUUCCAGUAAAAAACUACAAUUACAGAUUGCUAAAUUUGCAUGUGAUAUUUCUCCACAUUAAAGUAAUACCAUGGACAAUCUUACAAUCUCCCCUACUUUGUUUCUACAUUUAUCUUUGAAGGGCAGCCCAUAUGAAUCUGAGAAAAGAUAUACCUUUUAUGACUGCUAAACAUCGUCACCAUAAUAUUUCAAUAGUAAUAAGUGCUCUUUCGUAUGACCGGUCUUUCUAAGGCAUUCUCUUUUCGUACAUCACGAACUCAUCAAUCUGAAACAGAAGACAAAUAGACAAUAGUCAAGUGAUAUUAAUUUGCAAAUAAGAAAGAGAUCAUCCAAUUACAUAAAAAAAUCAUAAAAGAUAUUUAAGUACACGCCAUAAGCAUAUUGAACACUUGUAAAAAGGCAUCCAUGCACUGAACUAAUUGCUCCAGCCACGUCCACAAAAUAGUGCAUCCAUGGAACAGAAAACGUGUAAAUACUUCAUCCCUAGUGUUGAGCUAAUGCCAUGUUAGUUGCAUACUGAAAAAAGCACACAUCUUUUUUAUGUUGGCUUAGUUUGGUCAAUUGACCGAACACAUUGCAGUCGACCUGAACACCGAUACCGGAAAAGGUGAAUGCUACAGCUGGACCGGGGCGGAUAUACUACAGGCAGACACGCGAAUGCAUCAGCUAGCACACACAUGACACAGCUGCAGCAGGAGCACAGAAGCCGCACAUGCACGCGACAUAUCACAUGGCCAAGAGAGUGCGAGGGGCAGCCGGCGUGCACUCACCGCAAAGGGGAGCAAUAGCGAGAUUGGACACCUCCUCAUGUUGGCCUCCGUGGCGGAGUGUUGGCCAUCACCUGGCUCGAGCCCCUCCUCUACGCGGAGCUCGAUCAGAAGGGAGCAAGAGGAGUGGAGAAAAAAAAGGAAUCUGCUCCAUGAAUGCCUGCUCUGUUCGCUGCUCUCGUGGAGGCAUGCACUUGCGAUUGGGAGAGGUGACAAGGAAGGCAAGGAGAAGAACAAAAAGAAGGCGGCCGGCCCAGACGGCAACCACCACUUAGAUUCAGGCCACCGCCGGCCAUAAACCGCAAGAAAAAAAGGACACCCAGCUGCUCACCUGACGCCGGAAAAGAUCGAGCCUUCUUCAAGAUGGAGACGGUAUGGUCCAGGCAGGGAUCGACGGGGAGGAAGUAGCCAGAUAAAUCGUCGGCAGGGCGCUGCCCUCCUCCCCGUAGCCUGCUGGCGCCGCUUUUUUUUCGCAACCCUGGAGACCCCUAGAGGAGGGGUGGUUCGAGA